UACGUAUGGGGCGAGCGUUGUUCGGAAUUAUUGGGUGUAAAGGGCGUCUAGGCGGGAGAUUAAGUUAGAUGUGAAAGGCGUGGGCUUAACCCACGAAUUGCAUCUAAAACUGGUUUUCUUGAGUUCGGGAGAGGAGAGCGGAAUUCUUGGUGUAGCGGUGAAAUGCGUAGAUAUCAAGAAGAACACCAGUGGCGAAGGCGGCUCUCUGGCCUAGAACUGACGCUGAAGCGCGAAAGCGUGGGUAGCGAACGGGAUUAGAUACCCUCGUAGUCCCUGAG
RNAcentral lists this ribosomal RNA (278 nucleotides) under uncultured prokaryote. Its description in RNAcentral is "partial 16S ribosomal RNA". It matches the Rfam family "Bacterial small subunit ribosomal RNA", at positions 524 to 801 of the family's 1533-position model. The record is from RNAcentral.